GAUGAACGCUAGCUACAGGCUUAACACAUGCAAGUCGAGGGGAAACGAUAUUGGAAGCUUGCUUCCGAUAGGCGUCGACCGGCGCACAGGUGAGUAACGCGUAUCCAACCUGCCCAUCACUUGGGGAUAACCUUGCGAAAGUAAGACUAAUACCCAAUGACGUCUCUAGAAGACAUCUGAAAGAGAUUAAAGAUUUAUCGGUGAUGGAUGGGGAUGCGUCUGAUUAGCUUGUUGGCGGGGUAACGGCCCACCAAGGCGACGAUCAGUAGGGGUUCUGAGAGGAAGGUCCCCCACAUUGGAACUGAGACACGGUUCAAACUCCUACGGGAGGCAGCAGUGAGGAAUAUUGGUCAAUGGGCGAGAGCCUGAACCAGCCAAGUAGCGUGCAGGAUGACGGCCCUAUGGGUUGUAAACUGCUUUUAUAGGGGAAUAAAGUGGGAGUCGUGACUCCUUUUGCAUGUACCUUAUGAAUAAGGACCGGCUAAUUCCGUGCCAGCAGCCGCCGUAA
Molecule: ribosomal RNA, 508 nt
Filed under: uncultured bacterium
Lineage: Bacteria
Description: partial 16S ribosomal RNA
Rfam family: Bacterial small subunit ribosomal RNA
Source: RNAcentral